This 433-nucleotide ribosomal RNA is filed under the name uncultured bacterium. RNAcentral's name for it is "partial 16S ribosomal RNA". It matches the Rfam family "Bacterial small subunit ribosomal RNA", at positions 29 to 507 of the family's 1533-position model. The record is from RNAcentral.
AACGAACGCUGGCGGCAUGCCUAACACAUGCAAGUCGAACGAGACCUUCGGGUCUAGUGGCGCACGUGUGCGUAACGCGUGGGAACCUGCCCUUAGGUUCGGAAUAACUCCCCUAAAGGGGUGCUAAUACCGGAUAAUGUCUUCGGACCAAAGAUUUAUCGCCUUUGGAUGGGCCCGCGUUGGAUUCGCUAGUUGGUAGGGUAAAAGCCUACCAAGGCGACGAUCCAUAGCUGGUCUGAGAGGAUGAUCAGCCACACUGGGACUGAGACACGGCCCAGACUCGUACGGGAGGCAGCAGUGGGGAAUAUUGGACAAUGGGCGAAAGCCUGAUCCAGCAAUGCCGCGUGAGUGAUGAAGGCCUUAGGGUUGUAAAGCUCUUUUACCCGGGAUGAUAAUGACAGUACCGGGAGAAUAAGCUCCGGCUAACUACGUG